UUAGCCUACGGGGAGCAGCAGUCGAGAAUCAUUCACAAUGGGGGAAACCCUGAUGGUGCGACGCCGCGUGGGGGAAUGAAGGUCUUCGGAUUGUAAACCCCUGUCAUGUGGGAGCAAAUUAAAAAGAUAGUACCACAAGAGGAAGAGACGGCUAACUCUGUGCCAGCAGCCGCGGUAAUACAGAGGUCUCGAGCGUUGUUCGGAAUCACUGGGCGUAAAGCGUGCGUAGGCUGUUUCGUAAGUCGUGUGUGAAAGGCGCGGGCUCAACCCGCGGCCGGCACAUGAUACUGCGAGACUACAGGAAG
Molecule: ribosomal RNA, 305 nt
Filed under: uncultured bacterium
Lineage: Bacteria
Description: bacterial SSU rRNA
Rfam family: Bacterial small subunit ribosomal RNA
Source: RNAcentral